Long non-coding RNA from Herpailurus yagouaroundi (jaguarundi), 601 nucleotides. RefSeq lists it as uncharacterized. The transcript has 2 exons. The record is from RefSeq and is a predicted model, not a curated record. Lineage: Eukaryota; Metazoa; Chordata; Mammalia; Carnivora; Felidae.
GCUCUUAUAAGUAGUCUGCUUAGUUUCCUGAACAUGUUACAGCUUCUCUUGACCCAAGUCAAUAUCUGUUGUCUGAUUUUUGUGGUCUGAUUAUCUUCACUCUCCUACUCUCAAAUAUAUAUCUCCUUGUCCCUCUUUCAAUAUUUAUUUCCCUGAGUCCAGGUUGUUUCCUUACAACCCAAUUUCCUAUCUGAUUUUCUCUAAAAUCUUGGCUGUGUGUUUUUUCUUUUACUUAUUCCUCACAUAGAAAUAUAGUAUCUGUGUGGUCAUUCCUAUUCUAAAAUAUACUGUCAAUAUUGCCAGGUUUGACCUGCUUUGUACAUUGUUUGCUCACUGUUUUAGAUCAAGAUGAUAUCCUUGGGAACGGUAGAAUCUACCAAAAGGGUACCUACUAUUAAGUAACUUGGUGUAUUAAUGUGAACAUAGGCCAGAAAUCCAAAUUUUAGACAUUUCACACUUAUGAGAACAGUUAGAGCACCAACAACUGUGUGAAGAGAGAGGGAAAAAUGCAAGAGUGAAGAAUACAAUUGAAAACCUCACUUCAAGGGAGCACAGGCAUCAGAAUGAAGGAUGGAAAAAAAAAAAAAAAACAUGAUUGAGA